Aedes aegypti (yellow fever mosquito) is the source of this 1125-nucleotide long non-coding RNA. RefSeq lists it as uncharacterized. NCBI's taxonomy places the organism in Eukaryota, Metazoa, Arthropoda, Insecta, Diptera, Culicidae. The transcript has 2 exons. The record is from RefSeq and is a predicted model, not a curated record.
UGGGAAUCUGACAGUUUUGGGAAUCUGACACUUUUGCGAACAGUGACAGCUUCGGAACUUUAGGAAGAUUGUUUGUUUACACACUUUACACAGGCUAAAAGUGGCUAAACUUGCUAAACCUAGUACUUGGAGAAAUAGAUUUUGUGUAUUUUUAUGAGUUUUUACGCGAUUAUCUAAUAAACUCAUCCAGCAUUGGCAGCAGCAUCUGGUGGUUGUGGUUCGUGCUACGCAGUUUAACUUGCAACGGAGAAGUUCUCUGAAUUUGCUGCAAUCAUUGCUAAACUUUAGAAGCUGAGACCAGUGGUUUCUAGAAAUCCAUUCUCUGCUGAACCUGCUGAACAUACAUGUUUGCCAAACGGUUCUCGUGAUUGCGAGUAUUCCACGAAAUACAAUGGACGACACAGCAGUGUCCACUGAAGAGCGAAGUCAACCAAUGUCUUGGAUGUUCCCUGCUUUGCAUCCUAUGAUUUUUAAUGCUUAACGGUUGUCAUGUUCGAAGAGGAUUGUGGAAGUACACUUUGAACCUUCGAAGGCGCGCGCGGAUUCCAGAAAUUCCACAUAGUUCGUGCGAAGUUUUCCGACUAGGAUGCAGACCUACUUAGGCACUUGCAUGAUUCACUUUGGCAUGGGGGCUUGGCCGAAUUGCCUGAAACUUUGCAAUAAAAAGCACUUCAGUACGUACGACCUACUGCAGAACAAUGCCCACCAGUUUCGUCAGCAGUGCAUCGAGUCGGAUCAGCUGCUGAAGGGGGAACUGUAUCCGAAGGGAGCGUAAGAGAAUCUCCGUGCAAGAGCGAAUCCAAUGAUAUGGUAAAGUUGGAAAUCGAGGCUUUGGAGGAGGUGCUUGAACCGCAAGAAGGUUUGGAAUCAACGUCUGAGAGAGUGAAUCUGGACAUCAUACAAAGUUGAAGAGGCUGAAGAAGGUUCCACGGAGGAAGCUGCAGUGUAGUGUAGUGUAUAUUGUGUCCAAAUAUGAGAUCCGUAGCUUUCAAAAACCCAACUGCCGAAGUGAAUCAAAAGUGUCAAGGAUAUGAUCCGGCUCCCUAUCUAGCGUACUUUUAACACGGUGAUGUCCCGCAAGAUUGUGAGGAUGAGUCUAAUAUCAAAUUUGAAUUGGUCAUAGGA